GUAAGGAAUAUUGGACAAUGGACGCAAGUCUGAUCCAGCCAUGCCGCGUGAAGGAUUAAGGUCCUCUGGAUUGUAAACUUCUUUUAUCUGGGACGAAAAAAGGGAAUUCUUUCUCGUCUGACGGUACCAGAUGAAUAAGCACCGGCUAACUCCGUGCCAGCAGCCGCGGUAAUACGGAGGGUGCAAGCGUUAUCCGGAUUCACUGGGUUUAAAGGGUGCGUAGGCGGGUAUGUAAGUCCGUGGUGAAAUCUCCGAGCUUAACUCGGAAACUGCCAUGGGUACUGCGUAUCUUGAAUGUUGUGGAGGUGAGCGGAAUAUGUCAUGUAGCGGUGAAAUGCUUAGAUAUGACAUAGAACACCAAUUGCGAAGGCAGCUCACUACACAAAUAUUGACGCUGAGGCACGAAAGCGUGGGGAUCAAACAGGAUUAGAAACCCUGGUAGUCC
RNAcentral lists this ribosomal RNA (445 nucleotides) under uncultured bacterium. Its description in RNAcentral is "partial 16S ribosomal RNA". It matches the Rfam family "Bacterial small subunit ribosomal RNA", at positions 354 to 796 of the family's 1533-position model. The record is from RNAcentral.